Molecule: ribosomal RNA, 468 nt
Filed under: uncultured bacterium
Lineage: Bacteria
Description: partial 16S ribosomal RNA
Rfam family: Bacterial small subunit ribosomal RNA
Source: RNAcentral
GACGAACGCUGGCGGCGUGCCUAACACAUGCAAGUCGAACGGAAAGGCCCUGCUUUUGUGCGGUGCUCGAGUGGCGAACGGGUGAGUAACACGUGAGUAACCUGUCCUUGACUUUGGGAUAACUUCAGGAAACUGGGGCUAAUACCGGCAAGGAGCUCCUGCUGCAUGGUGAGGGUUGGAAAGUUUCGGCGGUUGGGGAUGGACUCGCGGCUUAUCAGCUUGUUGGUGGGGUAGUGGCUUACCAAGGCCUUGACGGGUAGCCGGCCUGGGAGGGUGACCGGCCACAUUAGGACUGAGAUACGGCCCAGACUCGUACGGGAGGCAACAGUGGAGAAUAUUGCACAAGGGGCGGAAGCCUGAUGCGGCAACGCCGCGUGCGGGAUGACGGCCUUGGGGUUGUGAACCGCUGUCGCCUGUGACGAAGCGUGAGUGACGGUAAUGGGUAAAGAAGCACCGGCUAACUACGUG